RNAcentral lists this transfer RNA (88 nucleotides) under Gammaproteobacteria bacterium. RNAcentral's name for it is "tRNA-Leu". It matches the Rfam family "tRNA". From Rfam's summary of the family: Transfer RNA (tRNA) molecules are approximately 80 nucleotides in length. Their secondary structure includes four short double-helical elements and three loops (D, anti-codon, and T loops). The record is from RNAcentral. Lineage: Bacteria; Pseudomonadati; Pseudomonadota; Gammaproteobacteria.
GCCCGGGUGGCGAAAUUAGGUAGACGCAAGGGACUUAAAAUCCCUCGACCGAAAGGUCAUAUCGGUUCGAUUCCGAUCCCGGGCACCA